UCUUCUUCCCCAAUUUCAGAGUUUAGGUCACCGACGGUCUGUCGGAUGUUGGUGAUGUCUCCUCGGAGGAUUCCGUAGCCGACGUGCACUGGCGUUCGUUCCAUCAUCGUAUCAUCACCGCGCCCUUGAGAACCAACAUUGUCCUCAAUGUUGACUGAAGGAAAGAGCUCCGCCAAGUCUUCUUCAAACUCCCAUGAGGUAUCUUCUGGAAAUGCUCCACUCCACAGUACAAGCACCUGUUUUCUAGUCUUCCCUCCUUGUAAUAUUUUCCUUUCAUCUAAUAAGGCAGUAGGGUAAACGAUAGGUUGGUUAUUCACUGUGGUGAUAUGUUGAUCAUCAAUCGGAUUUUUUGGAAUGGGGCCGUGGAGUUUUCUCAGUAUGGAAACAUAGAAAGUCGAGUGAAUCUUACUUCCCUCAGGUAAUUCCAAUUUAUAGGCAACUUGGUUCAGUUUCUUGCAUAUCUUGUAUGGACCAAAAAACUUUUUGCAAAAUUUGUUAUGCAAUCGAUGAGCAACUGAAAUUUGUCUGUAUGGUUUCAAUUGAACAAAAACCCAAUCUCCCUCUUCAAAUGAAACCUCUGUUCUUUUCUUAUCAGCCAUUCUCUUCAUUCUUAUUUGUGCAUUCACUAGAUUUUUCUUAAUUUCCUCUAGUGUUUCUUCUCUAAGUUGGAGUUCUACAUCCACUGCUAGAAUUUGUGAAUCUCCUGAAUUAUAAUGCGGAAUUUCAGUAGCUUCCCUUCCAUACAAUACUUUGUAAGGACUUUCUCCUAGAGAUGAAUGAAAACUGGAAUUAUACCACAGAUCUUCCCAGGGCAGCAACUUAAGGUUUAGGAUGCUCAUGACAGUAGGCUCUUAGAUACAUCUCUACUCUCCUAUUUACUACUUCAGUUUGUCCGUCAGAUUGUGGAUGGUAAGCUGAAGAGAAAUUAAGUUUAGUCUCACUCAGUGUAUGAACAUCUUUUCAGAAUUUUGAGAGAGAAAAUUUGUCCCUAUUUGAUACAAUAGAUCUGGGGAUACCAUGUAAUUUAAUUACAUCAUUAGUGAAUACCUCAGCCACUCUAGCAGCAGUAUAUUUAGGUGGGAGAGGGCUGAAAUGAGCAUACUUGGACAACCUGUCUACAACCACCAUUAACACAGUGUUGCCUCUGACUCUAGGUAGAUCUGUGAUAAAGUCCAUACUUAUAUCUUCCCACACUUGAGAUGGAAUUGGUAGGGGCAUUAGCAGUCCAGCCAUUUUUGAAUUGGAUGGUUUAAUUUGUUGGCAAACAAUGCACUCUUUGAUAUACCUUUUUAUGGCAGCUCCCAUAUUAGGCCAAAAGAAUUUUUUUCCAAUUUUUUUUCCAAGUUCUAUGGAUUCUCGAAUGGCCUCCAAACUGAGAAUCAUGAAAUUCAUAUAAAAACUUCUUUAUUAGAGAGGAGUCUUCAUUUAAAUAAUACCUGUUUUUGUAUAGCAAUGUUCCAUUCCUGACCAUAAACCCACCACUAGUUCCAUUCUCAUCAAGAUAUUUGGUAAUCAAUGCUUUAGAAAUGGGAUUGGAUUCGUUCUCUAAUUUAAGCUCAUCUAUGAUAGAAUAUACUGGUUGUGAGAGAGAUAAUAGUGACCCCGGGGAACCUACUGAAUUAGAAGAAAAAAUGACAUCACCUUCUUCUAUUUCUUCAAAACUUCUCGAUAGUGCAUCUGCCACUACAGUUACUUUACCCGGUUUGUAUACAAUAGAAAAAUCAAAUCCCAAUAGCUUGCAUAGAAACACUUGUUGUUCAGGAGUUUGAAUGGCUUGUGUGAGUAUGUUCUUUAAACUCUUGUGGUCGGUUUCGAUAAUAAAGUGGGAUCUCAACAAAUAAUGUCUCCAUUUGCUAUCUGCCUGAGUAAUGGCAUACAUCUUUUUUACAUAUAUUGAGGAAGUCAUGAUCCUUCCCGAUAGUUUACAACUGAAAAAGUCAAUAGGGUGACAAUUUUGACUUAGGACAGCCCAAUACCAUUUUUGCACGCGUUUGUUUCCACUGUAAAUUCUAAUUCAAAGUCAGGAAAACCCAAAACUGGAGCAGACACCAUUGCUGCCUUAAGCCUUUCAAAACUGAUAGUGGCUUCAUCUCCCCACUUAAAAUUAUCCUUUCUAAGUAAAUCUGUCAUAGGUGACGCAAUGGAGGCAUAUUCCUUGAUAAAUCUCCUAUAGUACCCGGUAAGGCCCAAAAAUCCUCUUAGCAUUUUUAGAGUUUUGGGUUGUAGCCAGCCUACCAUUGCUUUUAUCUUCUCAUGAUCUGGAUGGACACCAUCACCCGCAAUAAUGUGUCCAAGAAAGGACAUUGAGUCUCUGCCAAAGGAGCAUUUGGACAGUUUUUCCAGUAAUUUAUUUUUUCUGAAUAACUCGAACACAAUUUUCAGAUGAUUAACAUGAACCUCCACUGAUGAACUAUACACCAAUAUGUCAUCAAAAAACACAAUGACAAAUUUCCUCAUGUACAUAGAAAAAAUAGAAUUCAUAACUGAUUGAAAUGUAGUUGGUGCAUUGGUAAGGCCGAAGGGCAUCACAAGGAACUCGAAGUAGCCUUGGUGAGUUCUAAAGGUUGUCCUUUCAGUGUGGUUAGGAUUUACUCUGAUUUGAUGAAAUCUCGAUCUCAAAUCCAGUUUAGAGUAAAUUGUAGAGUCUUUCAAUUCUUCCAAUAAUUCAUCUACAAUCGGAAUGGGAUAUUUAUCCUUGAUAGUCAAUGCAUUUAGGGCCCUAUAAUCCACACAUAGCCUAUACCCCCAUCCUUUUUCUUUACUAACAAUACUGGGGAAGAAAAUGGGCUUGAACUAGGUUUAAUGAUACCUUGUUUAAGCAUUUCAGCUAUUAGUCUUUCUAUUUCAGAUUUCUGAAAUUGAGGGUACCUGUAAGGUCUCACAUUAACCGAUCCAGAUCCAGGCUCUAAGUGUAUCGCGUGAUCCUUCUCUCUUUGAAGUGGAAGACCAUAAGGUUCCUCAAACAGUUCACAAUAUUCUUGAACUAUAGUUGUAAGCUCUGGACUUUUAAUUUAGAAACCAAUGCAGAUCCUUGUUCAACAUCUUCUAUUCUUUCCGUAUAGCAAAGAUAUGCUUCAUGUGUAGAUGCAGAUAGGUAUUUAAGCUGUCCUUGUAUCAAUGGAUCUUCAGAAAUCCAAGGUAGACCUACCCAAGAAAUAUUUUUACCCUUCAGGCAGAAUUCCAUAAUAGAGUUCCCAAAGUCAAAAGUCACCUUCCCAAAGGUUUUGAGUGCUUGAACUCCCAUAACCAUAUUUGAUCCAGCCAUUUUAAUUAGAAAUAUGCCCAUCACUACAUCCACACCUUGAAUUCUAAUCAUCACAUCUUUGCACACCUUGUUACAUAUCAAUUUUUCGCCACUACCUGUUGAGACAUAGAAGGGUACAAUUAGGCUUACUGUUAAUUUUAGUGCUAAAGCCACAUCCACUUGCAUAAAGUUGUGGCUGGAUCUAGAAUCGUUUAGAACACUAAUAGUCUGACAUUUGAUAAAACCUUCCACUCUGAUAGUGUUGAAAUUUAUGUUCCCUCAAAUGCAUGUAAUGAUAUCUCUGUUCUUUCUAGCUACACUAUAUCAAGUAUAACUUCUUCUUCGCUGGUAAAAGUAGGUUCAUUUUCUUCCUGAUCUUCAAUCUCUACAAACUCAGUCUCAUCUGCAAACAUUCUGAAUAGUUUCCCUUUCCUGCCCACACAGAUACUAUUAUGAUUUGCAGAAAAAUUUUCAUCACAAUUGAAGCAUAAACCCUUGCUCCUUCUUUCAGCUGUUUCUGUUGGUGAAAGCCUUUUAGUUCCAAAGUUUGAAUCAGAAUUUUUGUUGUUACCCCAUGGAUUCUCAAUUUUGUUUUGUUGAUUGGCAGAAAAUGGUAUUGCUGUAGUCACUUUAGGAAUGUAGUUUUUGUAAGAUAAUGUUUUGAUUGAGCCUUUUUUUGAUUCCACCAUUGUGGAUAGUUCAAAUGCUUCAUGAAUGUCUGUUGGUUUUCCCAUAACUACACCAGCUUGAAUGUCUUCCUUCAAUUCUGAAAUAUACAAUUUCAGGAUGAAAUAUUCUGGUAAGCCUAAAACUCUUGUGCACAUCUCCUCGAACAUACUCUGAUAUUCAGCUACAGUCCAUGUUUGGACUAAUUUACUAAAUUUGCCCCCAGGUAGUUGGUAGUGUAAUUUGGUCAACUUUCUCACUAUUGCAUCCACGAAAUUAAUCCAGGUUGACAGCAUAUUGCUGGCUUCCAUCCAUGAAAACCAUUUCCUAGCCAAUCCUUCCAUGUGAAAAGAAGCAAUUAAUAAUUUUUGGUCUUCAUGUACCUUGUUAAAUAUAAAGUAUCUCCUGGCUGAGUAGAUCCAGUGCUCAACCUCUGUGCCAUCGAACUUUGGCAUAUCCAUUUUGAUAUGUUUUGCCAGAACAUAAUCUGGGUUCUGUAAGAUACUGAGUGCAUAACAAGGCUUAUCCAGAUUUAUUAUUGAUUGAUAAUAAGUUUGCGGUAAUGAAAUAAUAUCAGAAUUAGGAUUAACAAUACUGUCGGGAGGUAUUUUUGGAAUUUCCCCUUUUUCAGAUGCAUAAUUGCUCUUACUCAUACCUGCCAAUUGUUUGCUUAUUUGCAUAAAGUUAUUAUUCAUAGUGGAUUUGAUUUUGCCCAUCUCAUUCACUUGACUUAAUUGUAAUGCUUGCAGCCUCAUAAAGUCUGGGUAAUUUGCAAUUUCUGAUGUGCUUGCCAUCUAAAAAUGAGAACAAAUCUUAAGAAAACACCAAUGAUACGAUCGUACCGGAAUUAAUUCAGAGAACGAGUUCACCUGAACAAUUACGGUGCUCCAGAUCCGUGAAGAAUUUCCACGGGUGUCCGAAGCAGUUAACAGCGGAGGUAUACUCCUGAAAUUGAGGCUUAGCCUCCCUAACGAUAGUUGUUAAGCUGAUUAGGUUGGGGCUCAAUGCGGAUGGAACUCCAGGACGCAGAUCGUGCUGACCGGCCGACGGACGAAUAGAGAACUGAACGGGCGCGAGAUGAGAUGGAGGGUACUCGACUGAAGCCGGCAAUGAUCGAAGGAAUGGGAGGAAUUUAGUUUAAUUUCAUAAAAUUGAUUACUGACCUAAUUCCAAUGGAACAGUAUUUAUAUUAUUACAGCGAUUUAAUUAAGUAAAAUUGUGAGGUCUCUUAAUAAAAAUGUCCACUAAUAGAAAGGGGAAAACGUGACUCAAUCGAGCAGGAAAUCCCUAGUCCAUCCGGAUUUCUUCUUCUCUCUUGUGGACCGG
Molecule: long non-coding RNA, 5236 nt
Filed under: Zostera marina
Lineage: Eukaryota; Viridiplantae; Streptophyta; Magnoliopsida; Alismatales; Zosteraceae
Description: long non-coding RNA (ZMAR_LNC003544)
Source: RNAcentral